UGGGGAAUCUUGCGCAAUGGGCGAAAGCCUGACGCAGCCAUGCCGCGUGGAUGAUGAAGGUCUUAGGAUUGUAAAAUCCUUUCACCGGUGAAGAUAAUGACUGUAGCCGGAGAAGAAGCCCCGGCUAACUUCGUGCCAGCAGCCGCGGUAAUACGAAGGGGGCUAGCGUUGCUCGGAAUUACUGGGCGUAAAGGGAGCGUAGGCGGACAUUUAAGUCAGGGGUGAAAUCCCGAGGCUCAACCUCGGAACUGCCUUUGAUACUGGGUGUCUUGAGUGUGAGAGAGGUAUGUGGAACUCCGAGUGUAGAGGUGAAAUUCGUAGAUAUUCGGAAGAACACCAGUGGC
This 344-nucleotide ribosomal RNA is filed under the name uncultured bacterium. RNAcentral describes it as "partial 16S ribosomal RNA". It matches the Rfam family "Bacterial small subunit ribosomal RNA", at positions 355 to 716 of the family's 1533-position model. The record is from RNAcentral.